This 5211-nucleotide long non-coding RNA is filed under the name Salvia miltiorrhiza (redroot sage). RNAcentral's name for it is "long non-coding RNA (SMIL_LNC000772)". Lineage: Eukaryota; Viridiplantae; Streptophyta; Magnoliopsida; Lamiales; Lamiaceae. The record is from RNAcentral.
GAAAAAGAGAGGAGGAAACACAAGGAAGCGAUGUAAGAUAAACUCUUCACUCUAAGGAAUCCACCAAAGAGGUUAGAGAGACUCGUCACCUUAAGGAAUCCACCUAAAGGCUAAGAGAAAAGUAAGAAGAAAUCCUUCUUCAAACAAGUUUAGAGACUCAAUUUAAGUAAUUGUAUUUCAACUUGAUGCCUCCCACUCUCACUUACACACGUAUAUAUACUAAUCUCUUACAACCCUUCACUACCUCACAUUGAUUACAAAUCCACUCAUAUUCCAAAAUACAUGAAUAGCUCAUAAAUUCAAGACUAAUGAUAUGAAAAGACAUUGACUCUUCAAUUUUCGGACUGUACUGCUACCCUCUAGUAAAACAGCCAUAACUCCUUCUAGAAAACUCCAAAUGACCUUUAGUUUAUUCCAUAAGAAACUAGACUCAUCUAGCUUCGAAACCAUAUAAGGCUCAUGGGCUAAUUCAUUUUCAAUCACAGUCGGCUGCUCUUCAAAGUUGACCCAUCUGCUGCAAAUUCAUGCUGAAACUCUGCAUCAUUCGCUUCCGCUGCGAGAAAACUCGUCCCUGAGUUUGUCUCAUCCUCAUCAUCUUGCUCCCCAUGAUAAGGAGAUAAAUCAGCUACAUUGAACGUAGCAGAAACGCCAUAUUCUCCUGGGAGUUCAACUUUGUAAGCAUUCUCCCCAACACGUUGAAGAAUUUUGAAAGGACCGUCUGCUCGUGGCUUGAGUUUUCCAUGACGACCUCGAGGAAACCUUUCUUUACGAAGAUGAAUCCAGACCAAGUCUCCCUCAUUAAAUGUCGCUGGCUUGCGAUGUUUGUCGGCCUUCUUCUUGUACAUUUCAUUCUUCUUCACAAUCCGAUCACGUACCUCCAUAUGCAUCUUCUUGAUGUUCUUGACUCUAUCCUCGGCAUCUCCACUAUAAGAAUGUGUAAUUGGAAUAGGAGUCAAGUCCAACGGACUGUUUGGAUUGCAACCAUACACAACUUCAAAUGGAGUGCCUCCAGUUGUUUGAUUUUUAGACCUAUUGUAGGCGAAUUCAGCUUGAGCAAGAACAAGAUCCCAUUGCCGAAUAUUACCACGAACCAACUUCCCAAAAGAUUACCCAAGCUCCGAUUAACAACUUCCGUUUGACCAUCGGUUUGAGGGUGGUGCGAGGUACUAAAUUGGAGAGUGGUCCCCAACUUCCGCCAAAGUGUUCGCCAAAAGUGACUCAUAAAUUUUGGAUCUCGAUCAGAUGUUAUAGUCUUCGGGAUGCCAUGCAGCUUAACAAUCUCACGAAAAUAUAGAUCGGCAACGUUGGAAGCAUCCAAGGUCUUGUUGCAUGGCACAAAAUGAGCCAUUUUAGAAAAUCGAUCCACCACCACCAUAACAGAGUCUUUAUUUCUUUGAGUUCUUGGCAAACCCACCACAAAAUCUAAGCUCACAUCUUCCCAUGGAGUCGUCGGAACUGGUAAAGGGGUGUAUAGACCUGUAUUUUGAGCUUGAGUUUUGGCUAUAUGACAAAUUCGACAUCGUUUCACAUACCUUGCAAUAUCUCGAUCCAUUUUAGGCCAGUAGAAAUUUUCCCGAAUAAGAGACAAAGUCUUAUCUCGACCAAAAUGUCCGGCAAGACCUCCUCCAUGAGCUUCUUUGACAAUUGAUUCUCUAAGAGAGCCUUGAGGAAUGCAUAACUGAUUAUCCUUGAAGAGGAAUCCAUCUUGUAAUAGAAAGUGAUUAGACGGACCAUUUGAACAAUCCUCCCAAACCUUUCCAAAUUGAGGAUCAUCUUUGUAUUGACGCUUAAGAACCUCAAAGCCCAAGACUUCUACCUGUAAUGUUGAGAGUAGAGAAUGCCUUCGGCUUAGAGCGUCCGCCACCUGAUUUUGCUUGCCCGACUGAUGCUUGAUGUGAAAAGUAAAGGAUUGAAGAAAUUCAACCCAUUUUGCAUGCCGACGACUAAGUUUAUGCUGCCCAUUGAUAUAUUUAAGAGCUUCGUGAUCUGUAAAAAGAAUGAAUUCUUUGGGCAGGAGAUAAUGACUCCAAUGAUCUAAAGCUCUAAUAUAGCAUAAAACUCUUUAUCGUAGGUGGAAUAAUUUCUUCGACUUCCAUUUAAUUUCUCACUAUAGAAGGCAAUGGGCUUACCUUCUUGACUAAGAACUGCGCCGAUGCCAACAUUUGAAGCAUCACAAUCUAACUUCAAAUAUUUUCUCAAAAUUUGGAAGUGCAAGAACAGGAGCUUGAGUUACCUUCUUCUUAAUAAGAUCAAAGCUCUUUUGCGCAUCCUUAGUCCAUUCAAAUCUUUCACCCUUCAAACACUCUGUGAUUGGAGCAACAAGAGUGCUAAAUCCUUUGAUGAACCGACGGUAGAAAGAGGCCAGACCAUGAAAGCUUCGAAUGUCACGAAUAGUUGUUGGGGUUGGCCAGCUUUCAAUAGCUUCCACCUUGCUUGGAUCCACCUUGAUCCCUUCGCCGGAAAUGAUAAAGCCUAGAAAAACAAGGCUUUUGGAAAAGAACUCGCACUUCUUCAUGUUAGCAUAAAGCUUAUCUUUUCUUAGAGCUUCAAAAACUUGAUAAAGAUGCUCUAAAUGUUGCUCAUCACUUUUGCUAAAAACCAAGAUAUCAUCGAAGUAAACGACGACAAACUUACCAAUGAAUGGCUUGAAUACUUGGUUCAUCAACCUCAUGAACGUGCUUGGAGCAUUGGAAAGGCCAAACGGCAUCACCAUCCAUUCAUAGAGCCCAUCUCUUGUCUUGAACGCUGUCUUCCAUUCAUCUCCAGGUCUCAUCCGAAUUUGAUGAUAUCCACUUCUCAAAUCAAUCUUUGAAAAGAUUGAUGCUCCAUGUAGUUGGUCCAGCAAGUCAUCAAGGCGAGGGAUAGGAAACCGGUACUUGAUUGUAAUUUUGUUCACAGCUCGACUAUCAACGCACAUUCUCCACGUUCUGUCUUUUUUUGGGACUAGCAAAGCUGGAACGGCGCACGGACUCAUACUUUCUCUUAGCAAGCCUUUGUUCAUAAGCUCUUGAACUUGCCUUUGUAAUUCCUCAUGCUCCUUAGGAUUCAUUCGGUAUGCCGCCUUGUUUGGAAUUGAUGCCCCUGGAAAGAAAUCAAUACAAUGUUGGAUAUCCCUCAAAGGAGGGAGACCAAUAGGUAUUUCAUCUGGGAUGACAUCUUGAAAUUCAUCAAGAAUGGGUUGCAAUAUUUGAGGAAUUUUCUUGUUCUCCUCGUUCCCCUCCAUCAUCACAAGAACAUAAAGUUCUCUUGUUUCUUCAAACGCUGCAUCAAAUUGAGAUUUAGAGAGCAAAAUAGUCCCCUCACCUUUAGAAGGUUUGGGAGUAUUAUCAAGUUUAGUCGGCCCCAAAACAAUCUUAACUCCAUCUUUCUCAAAAUGAUAAGUAUUUUUACGACCAUCAUGAAUGACGUUUCGAUCAUAUUGCCAUGGUCGCCCAAGAAGUAGAUGACAAGCAUCCAUCGGGAUAACAUCACACCAAACAGAAUCCUUAUAAUUUUUACCAAUUGAAAAAUUCACUAAGCAUCUAUUUUCAACUUUUAUUUUAUCUCCUUUACUGAGCCAAGAGAGCUUAUAAGGACGUGGGUGUACCUCGACUUUGAGAUUGAGCUUCUCCACCAUUUCGGAAGACACCAUAUUUUCACAGCUCCCUCCAUCAAUAAUGACAUUGCAUACUUUUCCAUCGCAAGUGCAUCUCGUGUGGAAAAUGUUGUGACGGAGCCAAUUUUCCUCUUCUUGAAUAGCACUUAAGCAUUUCCUCGUCACAAGGCAUUCUCCUUGAUCUCCAUAAGUGACUUCUUCAUCAUCUCCCGCCACCUCAUUGGUCUCUUCAACUUCUUCAGUUUGUUCGUCUUCUUCAACAAGCGAGACGAUUCUUCUAUUUGGGCAAUCAGAUGCAAUAUGCCCAAAGCCAUGGCACUUAAAACAUUGUCGGGAGGAAGAAGGAGAAUUUUUAGGAGCAUCCGCCUUUGGUAAAUCACUCCUCUUUGUUGGUGGUUUUGACGUAGUUGGGCUGCUUAAGGUAGACUUUGCAUUAGUGGCGCCUCUUUUGUUAGCAAACCCGUCUUUGUUCCAAGAACGGAAGUUGCUCCUUGGUGCUUCAUUGAUUUGUUUCUCCACCUUAAGAGCAAGCUUGAAAACAUCAUUAUACGUCCAAUAAGGCUGCAAUUGGACAACGUUAGCAAUUUCAGACCUUAAUCCUCCAAGAUAACGAGCUAUUGUUUGUUCCUCGGGCUCCACGACUUCACACCUCAUCAUGAGAUGCUCAAAAUCCAUUGUGUAUUCUUCCACGGUCUUCUCUUUUUGCUUGAGAUUAUGAAACUUGAGAAAAAUAUCCUGACGAUAGUUCUCGGGUAAGAACUUUCGCCUAAGCAGCUUUUUCAUCUUCUCCCAAGUUUCAACUCGACCUUUUGCCUCGCGGCUGCGUUGUUUCUUGAGGUGUUCCCACCAAAUUGACGCAUGUUUUGUCAAUUUGAUAGCAACAAGCUUCACUUUACGGUCGUCGGGAACAUCGUGAUAUUCAAAGAUUCUUUCGACAGCGUGCAACCAAUCAAUGAAUUCUUCGGGUUGCAUUCUUCCUUCAAACUCCGGAAUAUCGACUUUGGCAUUGAAGAAUGGCUGAGGUCGACGUCGGUGAUGACCAUGUGCUCUUGAAUGGUCACUUGAAUUGUGGUUGCGAUAGAAAGGAUUUUCUACCUCGUCACCAGAUUCACUAUCAUCCUCCGAAUCAUGACGCGACUCUUCAGGUUCGGCAUGCUCGCCUUGCGCAAGCUGUUGUUGGAGUUGCUGCACUUGUCUCCUCAAUUCUUCCAGCUCGAUGUCGCGAAGAUCGCGCUCACGCCUUGGUUCUUCACCCUGGUUGUUCCUUCGACGUGGGGCCAUCACGAACCUUGCUCUGAUACCACUUGAUACCGGGCAAAUGGAAAAAGAGAGGAGGAAACACAAGGAAGCUAUGUAAGAUAAACUCUUCACUCUAAGGAAUCCACCAAAGAGGUUAGAGAGACUCGUCACCUUAAGGAAUCCACCUAAAGGCUAAGAGGAAAGUAAGAAGAAAUCCUUCUUCAAACAAGUUUAGAGACUCAAUUUAAGUAAUUGUAUUUCAACUUGAUGCCUCCCACUCUCACUUACACACAUAUAUAUACUAAUCUCUUACAACUCUUCACUACCUCACAUUGAUUACAAAUCCACUCAUAUUCCAAAAUACAUGAAUAGCUCAU